Molecule: RNA transcript, 1095 nt
Organism: Drosophila obscura
Lineage: Eukaryota; Metazoa; Arthropoda; Insecta; Diptera; Drosophilidae
Exons: 4
Source: RefSeq, a predicted model, not a curated record
AGCUCACGACUGCCCUUUCCGAGGACACUUACGGAUGCCCCAGUAUCCAGGAGUCCGGAAAUCUUCCGUCCUAGGAUUUGCACCUUGGCAAAAACCCUUGGGUCACGUCCUGCUCCACGCCUGACUGCUUCAGCCACCUCCUUGCGAGUCUGUCUCCUUUGCCGGAAGCGUGCCCGGGCCUUCUGGAGUCUACGGCUGACACCUCGCAUUCCACUCAGCUGAUGUCCGUCAAAGAUCCGAUUUCGGACUUGGGUAUAUCUCCUCAUCCUCUCUUCGGCCGUGCAUCCUUCACUUUCUCGCGGGCCUUCGUCCCGAGCUCUGAUGUCCCGCCUUUAUCAAGCCCGUUCUUGCGUUUCCCGAACAGUUGGGACACUUCGGCGUGUACGUUUCGGGCUUUCCGCAGAGGUAACAGAAUACUCUGCGUUCCUUUGCCAUACACUCUCGGAACCCGUGAUCAACUUCUCCGCAAUUCCAGCAACCCAGCCUCGGCUUCGCUGUCAGAUAACUACCUAACUCCAACAAAACUCAACACAAAAAAAACAAAUAAAAAAACUGCAAGAUCAACCACAAGAGGGGAAAGUAACCACAACUGCUACUGGAGCCAUCUGCACUUGGUUCCCUACGUCUUUGCUUGUCCAACGUCUACCUUCUUAGUCGCGAGCGCUGUUGACUUCUCAUCUUCUACAGAAGAUUAAGUGUCAAGGGCGCUCACUCUUCUACCUAGCUGCUUCUGUCCCACUACUCUACUGAAGGAUAUCCUCGGGAUCCUGUAGCUGCUCCAGGUGCAUCGCGUGACCGACUAAAUGUCCCCACGGGCCACCUACAGCAAAAAUCUCUACGAGAUACUACCUUCCCGCCUCCUCCAGCGGCUCUCUUUCGUCCACCAGGCAACGGGUCGGUUGCUAACUGGCUUGAGGAUUAUCCUCCGUCAGUGCCAACCUCACCCCCUUGAGAGCUCCGGCUUCCCUCUGUCAGAUAAGUUUAAACACAAACUACAAAAAACAAUUUACUUUGUGGAUUCCUACAUUUUCAGAUCCCUCAGUGCCGUGCAUCUGCGAGCCAACCUUCACAGCUCCUCCCAGGCCACCGGUACAC